Molecule: transfer RNA, 105 nt
Filed under: Xylaria sp. FL0043
Lineage: Eukaryota; Fungi; Ascomycota; Sordariomycetes; Xylariales; Xylariaceae
Description: tRNA-Gly
Rfam family: tRNA
About the family: Transfer RNA (tRNA) molecules are approximately 80 nucleotides in length.
Source: RNAcentral
GCACCAGUGGAGUAGUAGUUAACUCGUUUCCCUCCCAUCUAAAUCGUGAUUCCUAUCAUGAGGGCGAGGAAGGAAAGGACCCGGGUGCAAAUCCCGGCUGGUGCA